UAUGAAUAUAAUCCACAGCUAUAGAGAGAGAAAGGAACAUGGAAAGUGAGAGAGAGAUUAUGAUGAUUCCAUGUUUUGAUUUUGGCAAGGCAUUAGAAGAAGGGAGUGAGGAGUGGAAAGAAAUGAGCAAGAAAGUGAGAGAAGCAUGUGAGAGUCACGGUUGCUUCCUCUUGGUUUGUGAUGAGAUGAUUCCUAAGGGUGUACGUGAAGAGUUUUUUAGUAAUAUGGAAGCAUUGUUUGAUUUGCCUGAAGAAAGAAAGAUGAAGCACAUAAGUCCAAAGCCUUAUAGCAGCUACAGUGGCAAGAGCCCUGUCAUUCCCCUCAGUGAAACCUUUGGGAUCGAUGAUGUUCCUCUCUCUGCUUCGGCUGAGGCCUUCACCAACCUCAUGUGGCCUCAAGGAAACCCACCUUUCUGCGAGACACUAAAGAUCAUGAGCUCAAAGAUGUUAAAAUUAAGUUCUCUCAUCCUGAAAAUGAUUGUGGAAGAUUAUGGCAUUCAACAACAUUACAUCUCAGAUGUUGAAAAGAUGAAAAGCUCUAGCAAUUCACGAUUGAUCAAAUACAAAAUUCCUGAAAAUAAUAAUGACUCCAAUACUGGCCUGGUGUCUCACACGGACAAAAAUGCGUUAACCAUUAUAUGCCAAAACGAAGUCCAAGGACUCCAAGUACUGUCCAAAACAGACAAUUGGAUUGAAUUGGAGAUGGCUUUGUGGUCAUUGUUGGUGAUAUACUAAAGGCGUGGAGCAAUGGGAGGCUUCAUGCAGCUACACACAGAGUGAUGAUGAGUGGAGACAAAGAAAGAUAUUCAUUUGGGCUUUUUACAAUGCCAAAGGAAGAGAUGGACAUUGAGGUACCCAUUGAGUUGGUGGAUGAGAAAAUUCAUCCCCUUCGUUAUCAUCCAUUCAAAUAUGGAGAGUACAUCUCUUACUUUGUUUCAAAUCUCAAAGAAAAUGCUCUUGAAGUGUUUGCAGGUCUUUGAAAGCCCUUUAUGCAUUAUACUAGUUGUUUAUGAAUAAAUACAGGAGCAAGGCAAAAUAUACAAGAGAUUGCUAUAUAUAGAACUCCUUUUAAUUGUGUAAUGCAGAAUAAUAUUUAGAUCGACUUUACAUUAAUAAAACUCUCCGUAUGUGUUAUACAUAUUUAUUUUUGUC
This is an RNA transcript of Glycine soja, 1151 nucleotides long. It is a transcript of the gene named probable 2-oxoglutarate-dependent dioxygenase AOP1.2, with no coding region annotated. Lineage: Eukaryota; Viridiplantae; Streptophyta; Magnoliopsida; Fabales; Fabaceae. The record is from RefSeq and is a predicted model, not a curated record. The transcript has 3 exons.